Molecule: long non-coding RNA, 988 nt
Organism: Protopterus annectens (West African lungfish)
Lineage: Eukaryota; Metazoa; Chordata; Ceratodontiformes; Protopteridae
Exons: 4
Source: RefSeq, a predicted model, not a curated record
UAUAGCAAUGCUAAAAUUUCAGAUGAUCAUGAUUGCAUGUUUUAAUUUUGUGAUGUACUUUAGAAACCUAAAUAAUGCUGUGUGACAUCCACAAUGAAUAGGCUUGGACAGAAUGGGCAAAGAAAGAUCACAGUGUUCACAGUUUACAAAGCGGCAUUUUAGGAGUGCUUGAUAACAUUGCACUCACUAGAACUUUUGAAAAUAUCGACACAGUUCAUAGUACACUUAUGAAGAGCCAGUGCUGGAAACAAGCAAAGCAUUUAGACAGUGGUUUUCAACAAAAUGGAUACCUGCCAUUAAGCUGAAGAAUUUAUAGACAUGAAUCAGAUAACAUGGGUCACACUUUUUGGAUUACUGUGCUUGUCUGCAUGUGUGAAGACAGCACCUACUAGAGAUAACAGCUUGAGGACAUUACAGCUAGCUCAAAACAGAGAACUGUUCCUGAGUGCCCUGCAGUCUUAUUUUAGUGACAAAGGUGUUCAUAUUGACAGAACUGCACCAGCAUUUGCCAUUGUCUCCAAGGGCCCCAACAGCAUCAUGAGAGAUGACGGAGGGAAGGAGGAUCAUUCAAGAUAUGAGAGGAACUGGCUGGAGUAGGAACAUACCCUUAGGUCUCCUCUUUUGUUUGUCAAAGAUGUACUGAAAGUGAAGAUAGAAAUGUUAAAAGUUAUUGACAGCUGGCAGUCGUUUUAUACACUGGAGACAUUGCUUAUGAUUUUAUUUAUUGAACUAUGAAUAAAUGAUUACCCGUAGUACUUAGCAUAUUCUGUUGCCCUGUGAACCAUUAUUAUACGGUCAUUGCUGAUGGCCAACCUGUGGCCAUUUUUGAUCAUGCCAGGGAAAUAUAUGAUAUUUAAAAUAAUACAUAGUAAAGCUACCUAUUAUAUCUGCUUGUUGUCUAUUUUAUAAUAAAACAGACAUACUCAUUGUUGAUUUUUAAUCAGUGUUGUUUUAUAAUAAAUCUGACAGUUUGUCUGUUUUGACUUUA